Molecule: ribosomal RNA, 419 nt
Filed under: uncultured Streptococcus sp.
Lineage: Bacteria; Bacillati; Bacillota; Bacilli; Lactobacillales; Streptococcaceae
Description: bacterial SSU rRNA
Rfam family: Bacterial small subunit ribosomal RNA
Source: RNAcentral
CGAAGAACCUUACCAAGGUCUUGACAUCCGAUGCUAUUCUAGAGAUAGAAGUUACUUCGGUACAUCGGUGACAGGUGGUGCAUGGUUGUCGUCAGUCUCGUGUCGUGAGAUGUUGGGUUAAGUCCCGCAACGAGCGCAACCCCUAUUGUUAGUUGCCAUCAUUCAGUUGGGCACUCUAGCGAGACUGCCGGUAAUAAACCGGAGGAAGUGGGGAUGACGUCAAAUCAUCAUGCCCCUUAUGACCUGGGCUACACACGUGCUACAAUGGUUGGUACAACGAGUUGCGAGUCGGUGACGGCGAGCUAAUCUCUUAAAGCCAAUCUCAGUUCGGAUUGUAGGCUGCAACUCGCCUACAUGAAGUCGGAAUCGCUAGUAAUCGCGGAUCAGCACGCCGCGGUGAAUACCGGUUCCCGGGCCUU